RNAcentral lists this ribosomal RNA (757 nucleotides) under Porphyromonadaceae bacterium enrichment culture. RNAcentral's name for it is "bacterial SSU rRNA". It matches the Rfam family "Bacterial small subunit ribosomal RNA", at positions 28 to 774 of the family's 1533-position model. Lineage: Bacteria; Pseudomonadati; Bacteroidota; Bacteroidia; Bacteroidales; Porphyromonadaceae. The record is from RNAcentral.
GAUGAACGCUAGCGAUAGGCCUAACACAUGCAAGUCGAGGGGCAGCACAUGAAGUAGCAAUACGGAUGGUGGCGACCGGCGCACGGGUGAGUAACGCGUAUGCAACCUGCCUACAACAGGGGAAUAACCCGUUGAAAGACGGACUAAUACCCCAUAACACAGGGAUCCCGCAUGGGAAUAUUUGUUAAAGAUUUAUUGGUUGUAGAUGGGCAUGCGUUCCAUUAGCUUGUUGGUGAGGUAACGGCUCACCAAGGCAACGAUGGAUAGGGGAACUGAGAGGUUUAUCCCCCACACUGGUACUGAGACACGGACCAGACUCCUACGGGAGGCAGCAGUGAGGAAUAUUGGUCAAUGGACGCAAGUCUGAACCGGCCACGUCGCGUGAAGGAAGACGGCCCUACGGGUUGUAAACUUCUUUUGUAAGGGAAUAAAGUGCAGUAUGUGUACUGUAUUGCAUGUACCUUACGAAUAAGGAUCGGCUAACUCCGUGCCAGCAGCCGCGGUAAUACGGAGGAUCCGAGCGUUAUCCGGAUUUAUUGGGUUUAAAGGGUGCGCAGGCGGGAGAUUAAGUCGGCGGUGAAAUUUUGCAGCUCAACUGUAAAAGUGCCUUCGAAACUGGUUUUCUUGAGUGUGGAUGAAGUAGGCGGAAUUUGUGGUGUAGCGGUGAAAUGCAUAGAUAUCACGAGGAACUCCGAUUGCGCAGGCAGCUUACUAAACCAUAACUGACGCUCAGGCACGAAGGCGUGGGGAUCAAACA